This 253-nucleotide ribosomal RNA is filed under the name uncultured bacterium. Its description in RNAcentral is "partial 16S ribosomal RNA". It matches the Rfam family "Bacterial small subunit ribosomal RNA", at positions 524 to 776 of the family's 1533-position model. The record is from RNAcentral.
GACGGAAGGUGCAAGCGUUGCUCGGAAUCACUGGGCGUAAAGGGUGCGUAGGCGGCUUGGUGGGUCUGGUGUGAAAGCCCCGGGCUCAGCCCGGGAAGGGCACUAGAAACUGCCGAGCUGGAGUGCCGGAGGGGAGAGUGGAAUUCCUGGUGUAGCGGUGAAAUGCGUAGAUAUUAGGAGGAACACCGGUGGCGAAGGCGCCACUCUGGGCCGAAACUGACGCUGAGGAGCGAAAGCAUGGGUAGCAAACAGG